Molecule: non-coding RNA, 2876 nt
Organism: Ictidomys tridecemlineatus (thirteen-lined ground squirrel)
Lineage: Eukaryota; Metazoa; Chordata; Mammalia; Rodentia; Sciuridae
Source: RefSeq, a predicted model, not a curated record
UUGGGUGGCUUAUGCACAACAGGCAUGUAGUUCUCCCAGUUCUAGAGGCUUGAAAUCUAAGAAAAAAGAACCAGUGGGUUUGCUAUCUGGCAAAGACCCACUUCCUGGUUCUGUGUCCUCAUAUGAUAGGAGAAAGAAGGCACUAAUCUCAUUCAUGAGAACUCCAACUCAUGACUUGAUCACCCCCAAAGCCCCAUCUCCUAAUACCAUCACCUUGGUAUUUAGGGUUUCAACAAAGGGGGCUCAAACAUUUAAUCUAUGGCAUGCACCAUAAAAAAUGGCAGAAAUGACCCUAGAUAUGACCUAAUAAAUACAUUUGUUGAUGGUCUGUCACUACCAAUUAAAUCUCUUAGUUGAACCUAGAGUCUCUCAAGUGGAGCUUAUUGAAUGGUAUCUAUCUUAUCCAGAAUAAACUUAUGGCUUCCUUCCUGGGUUUCCUCUUUUGGGGACUAGAAUUCCAUUCAGUUUGGAAAUUCUUGCAUGCAUUAUUUUACUGUGACAUAAUUUAUUCCAUGGAAUCACAGUUCUAACUGAAUCAUUCUUAUGACAAAUUUCUGGUGUCACAUCAACCCAUUCAAAGAACUCAUGAGCAAUUGUGACUUAAACACAGAGAAAUUGGCCUUGCAGGGCUCAGAUUGCUCAUCCUUUCACAGGAUAGACUAGUAACCUCGGUUCAUUGUCUAGAUAAUCUCAGUUGAUAGAUUUUUUUUUCAACCUUCUUGUUGAAUUGGGUCAGUUCAUGGGUAAUUAGAUCUGGGGGGUGGGCUAUCAAUGUUCCAAGACAGUUUUUUAAAAACUGAAUCAACUGGGAAAUGGUUUCAUAUAGAUGUGAUCUUCUUCAGAAAAAAUAGAAUAACAUCUUAGGCAAAGUAGACAAACUUUGUGGCACAAAGCGUUAGGAUACUGGCUUUCUGAAAAAUAUCUGUGUAGCUCGGUCUCCUGUUCCACAGCUAUAUCUCCACACAAUUGUUCUGCUACUUUUUAGUUUUGGUCAGCAUGUUUGAAGGAGGCUUGCUUUGUAAGUCAUAACCCCAUCAUCAUGUAACCUUCAGCCUUGUAGCUUUUUGCAUCUGCAAAGUUAGGAGGCACCCAGGCUGCUCAUUUCAAUACAGAAAAACUAUGUAGAUGGGUUGAUGGGUCAGAAGCCCCACACAGCCACAAUUAGAUAAAACAAUUUGCAUUUCAAUUGCAGGAAAUGGAACAUUGCCAUUCAUCAUAGGGCCAGUUUUAUUUAUUUGGUGUUUUAAGGACUUAUUCAUGAGGGUACACUGGGAAUGCUUUCAACAAUGAAAAAUUAUGGAAGAUAUUUAAUAGCAUUGGGGAAAUGAGCCCUGUUUUAGUGGAGGUUUGCUUAUUUGCCAGUUAUAAGAACAAUUUUGACUAAUUUAGAACUGACUUCAUUUGUAGAAGUCUUCUUUUUUCUAUUUGAAGCAGUAAUACCCAACCUGGCUUCAAAAUGAAGAUUUAUAUUCACAACUUUUAUUGUAUGGCAAAUGUUAUAAAGUUGGUAUUGGCUUAUUCAAAAGACUAUAUAAUUUGAUUCAAUGGCUACUCUCUAGCUGAACAGAUACCUUUCUUAUUUCUUAAUUAGGAUAUUGAAAAUUCUAAACAUCUUUCAUUCAAAGACUAUUUUUCCCCCUCCCUUUUAAGUCAGUGGGAUUUUUACCGACACUCUGCAAGCCUCUGUCUUUGAUGGACAGAUUUGUUUUCAAAACUAUUUCUUACAUGGUGACUUCGUGCAGUCUGAUUAAGAAAUUUAAACAUUGCUUACUGAGUUAACCUUUGGAAGGGAACAUCUCAUUUUAAUGAGACCCUUGGGAGACAUGAAGAUCAUAUUGCCUAACUUCAGAUUUUAUGGUAUGCUUCACGCUAAAAAUAGCACAGAGCACAGGCCACAGUUAUUUUCUAAUGUAACGAGGAGAUCACAGUGUGAUGUCCUUUAAAAAUGACAAAGCUCCAUUAGUUAAAGGAAAAUCUGCCUUUCUCCUUAAAUAGUUCUGUCCUGUGAUUACAUGAACAGUGUCCCCCUGGGACAUUUCUCCCAAUUUCUUGCUUUUGCUGGGGCUACGUUUGAGUCUUUUUUUUUUUUUUCUUCUUACUUUCUCUACUUGCGGUUUAGAAGGCAGAAUCCAGGAAAGAAAGAACGGAGCCCAUCUUCAUCAGCUUGGAGCCAGCAAGCAAGUAUUUGGAGAAAUUAGGCUAAUUAAGUUAAUAGAAGGGGUAAAAGUGCAGGGUCUUUCAUUUGCAUAAAAGCAGAGGUUUGGCAUGCUUUAUGCAUUACUUAUGUUACCAGUCUCAGGAGGACAAUUAUGAUAUGCAUGGAUUAAAUAUUCAGGGGUGAGUAAGGAUAGAGCUCUGGUGAGGACUCGGCAAACAGACUUUAAACCCAUCAGGUUUUUUCAUCUAGCUGUGUGAUGCUCUCCAGAUUCUGGCUUUAGAGAUGCUUUAAUCCACUUGAAGGAGGAAGGAGAAGGACCCAGCUAAAUCCCAAGAUGAAAUCUGAAUGCUAAGAGGCUACCUGAGAUCACAGCAGGAGUCCAUGGCAGGGAUCUGAAGAUUAAAACUACCUGCUUUUCCUUUGAAGACUUACAAGCGGUUAUUAUUGCUAAAUGAAGAGAAAUAUGGUUCUGGCAGAGAGUAAUCAUUAUUUCCCAUAAAACAACUGACUCAGCCAUCUAGUUUGUAUGCUGGGGAGAAAAGGGAUUUAAGAAGAAACAGCUGUGAUGUGUUCUCAAAAGCUUUAUUCACUGGAGAUGUAUCUGUGAUAGAUACAUGAAGAUACUGCAGAAGAAACUCACAGUCUUGAUCUCUCAAAUAUGUUCUGUGAGGUGUUUCCAUUUCACAAAAGAGCAGCAAGAAAUAGAUAUAGAAGUUUC